UCCGACAGGAAAAAAAUCCUUCAGUAACCCGCUGAUUAAUUGUGCAGAAAUCUGCUAGGUUUAUAGGUUAUAGGUUUAUUAAAUUGCAGUGAGAAAUUGUAUAUUUGGAAUAUUUGGAAGCUGCCUUGUUUCAGCACAAAAGCUGGAUGGGAGAGAGAGAGAAGUGAGAUGAAGCAAAGAGAAGAUGAAAAGAAGAAAUGGAAGGACUAGGAAGUUGAGGAGAAAGGAAGACUGAAGGGAGUAAAGAAAGGAAGCAUGGAGACAAUUCCUGUAACAGGUCUUAUUCACUUCAUUAAUAUUUAAUCGAAGAAUCAUACUGAGCUAUUUCCAGAAUCUGAGUGGAGGGAACAUGGUACUGCCUUCCCAGUGGAAUUCUGAUUAAUAUACCAUCUCUGUGGUCCCUGAGGAUCACCAGCUUCCUUAUCCCCCAACUAUAUAUAUUUAUUCUGUGGAGAGGGAGGCAGAAAGUUGGAGAAAGCCCUUUGUAGCUCAACACAUGAUCUUCAGAAUAGUCAACAGACCUUUCCUGAUGGUCACCCAGUGGCCUUGCUGUUUCUCCAUGUGAAUGUGUUAUUGAAUGUUGUACAAAGCUGCCUGAAAAAGAUAUUAAAAGAAGCCUGCCAUGUAAGUUUACAGAAUAAUAGUGGAUUAGCUAUCUAUUUCUAUCAAACAAUUUACCAUGACAUGAGUGGCCUACUGCUCGUUUAUUAAACAAAAAG
This 719-nucleotide long non-coding RNA is filed under the name Capra hircus (goat). RNAcentral describes it as "lncRNA (ENSCHIG00010002844.1)". Lineage: Eukaryota; Metazoa; Chordata; Mammalia; Artiodactyla; Bovidae. The record is from RNAcentral.